CCUACGUGAGGCUGCAGUGAGGAAUAUUGGUCAAUGGGCGCGAGCCUGAACCAGCCAAGUCGCGUGAAGGAUGACUGCCCUACGGGUUGUAAACUUCUUUUAUAAAGGAAUAAAGUGAGCCACGUGUGCCUUUUUGUAUGUACUUUAUGAAUAAGGAUCGGCUAACUCCGUGCCAGCAGCCGCGGUAAUACGGAGGAUCCGAGCGUUAUCCGGAUUUAUUGGGUUUAAAGGGUGCGUAGAUGGGUUGUUAAGUCAGUUGUGAAAGUUUGCGGCUCAACCGUAAAAUUGCAAUUGAUACUGGCAGUCUUGAGUACAGUUGAGGUAGGCGGAAUUCGUGGUGUAGCGGUGAAAUGCUUAGAUAUCACGAAGAACUCCGAUUGCGAAGGCAGCUUACUAAACUGCCACUGACAUUGAUGCUCGAAAGUGUGGGUAUCAAACAGGAUUAGAUACCCCUGUAGUC
This 460-nucleotide ribosomal RNA is filed under the name uncultured bacterium. RNAcentral's name for it is "partial 16S ribosomal RNA". It matches the Rfam family "Bacterial small subunit ribosomal RNA", at positions 338 to 795 of the family's 1533-position model. The record is from RNAcentral.